UACGAACCGUGCGAACGUUAUUCGGAAUCACUGGGCUUAAAGCGCGUGUAGGCGGGAGGGCACGUCCGACGCUGAAAUCCCCCGGCUCAACCGGGGAACGGGCGCGGAUACGACCUUCCUGGAGGGACGUAGGGGGACCUGGAACUUCCGGUGGAGCGGUGAAAUGCGUUGAGAUCGGAAGGAACGCCCGUGGCGAAAGCGAGGUCCUGGACGUCUGCUGACGCUGAGACGCGAAAGCCAGGGGAGCGAACGGG
RNAcentral lists this ribosomal RNA (254 nucleotides) under uncultured bacterium. Its description in RNAcentral is "partial 16S ribosomal RNA". It matches the Rfam family "Bacterial small subunit ribosomal RNA", at positions 524 to 776 of the family's 1533-position model. The record is from RNAcentral.